GUGAUUGUUCUUUGGAUUUCUCCCGGUAAUUGGACUUCAUAUUAUUGUGAUUGGUUCAUCCCCUACACGGCGUUAUAAAUAUCUCUUCCUCUCCAUUUACUUAGUGUAACUAGUUUAGUUGCUAGUCUUGCCUUGUGUAGCUUAGUUCACUAGUGUAGCUUUUAGUGACAUAGCUCUUGUGUGCCUAGUGAUCUUAUAAACUAGAAUUGUUGGAUAGGUGGCUUGCAAACACCCCUUUAGAGCUAGAGCAAAAAGCUUCGCUCUCUUAUUUACUAACCUCUUGCUCUAGUGAGUUUGUAGAAUUUUUAAAUAGGCUAUUCACCCCCCU
Molecule: long non-coding RNA, 328 nt
Filed under: Sorghum bicolor (sorghum)
Lineage: Eukaryota; Viridiplantae; Streptophyta; Magnoliopsida; Poales; Poaceae
Description: long non-coding RNA (SBIC_LNC002406)
Source: RNAcentral